This 72-nucleotide transfer RNA is filed under the name Psednos sp. RNAcentral describes it as "tRNA-Gly". It matches the Rfam family "tRNA". From Rfam's summary of the family: Transfer RNA (tRNA) molecules are approximately 80 nucleotides in length. The record is from RNAcentral. Lineage: Eukaryota; Metazoa; Chordata; Actinopteri; Perciformes; Liparidae. RNAcentral also lists the same sequence under 1 other name.
AUCUUUCUAGUACUAAAGAUAGUAUAAGUGACUUCCAAUCACCCGGUCUUGGUUUAAAUCCAAGGAAAGAUA